AGUGAACGCUGGCGGUAGGCCUAACACAUGCAAGUCGAACGGCAGCACAGUAAGAGCUUGCUCUUACGGGUGGCGAGUGGCGGACGGGUGAGGAAUACAUCGGAAUCUACUUUUUCGUGGGGGAUAACGUAGGGAAACUUACGCUAAUACCGCAUACGACCUACGGGUGAAAGCAGGGGAUCUUCGGACCUUGCGCGAUUGAAUGAGCCGAUGUCGGAUUAGCUAGUUGGCGGGGUAAAGGCCCACCAAGGCGACGAUCCGUAGCUGGUCUGAGAGGAUGAUCAGCCACACUGGAACUGAGACACGGUCCAGACUCCUACGGGAGGCAGCAGUGGGGAAUAUUGGACAAUGGGCGCAAGCCUGAUCCGGCCAUACCGCGUGGGUGAAGAAGGCCUUCGGGUUGUAAAGCCCUCUUGUUGGGAAAGAAAAGCAGCAGGUUAAUACCCCGCUGUUCUGACGGUACCCAAAGAAUAAGCACCGGCUAACUUCGU
RNAcentral lists this ribosomal RNA (491 nucleotides) under uncultured bacterium. Its description in RNAcentral is "partial 16S ribosomal RNA". It matches the Rfam family "Bacterial small subunit ribosomal RNA", at positions 29 to 506 of the family's 1533-position model. The record is from RNAcentral.